GGGGUGUUAGCUCAGUUGGUUAGAGUGCCGGCCUGUCAAGCCGGAGGUCGCGGGUUCAAGUCCCGUACAUCCCGCCA
RNAcentral lists this transfer RNA (77 nucleotides) under Coriobacteriales bacterium. RNAcentral's name for it is "tRNA-Asp". It matches the Rfam family "tRNA". From Rfam's summary of the family: Transfer RNA (tRNA) molecules are approximately 80 nucleotides in length. Their secondary structure includes four short double-helical elements and three loops (D, anti-codon, and T loops). Lineage: Bacteria; Bacillati; Actinomycetota; Coriobacteriia; Coriobacteriales. The record is from RNAcentral.